AGGCAGCAGUGGGGGAAUAUUGCACAAUGGGCGCAAGCCUGAUGCAGCCAUGCCGCGUGUAUGAAGAAGGCCUUCGGGGUUGUAAAGUACUUUCAGCAGUGAGGAAGGGUAUCGUAGUUAAUAGCUGCGGUAUUUGACGUUUAGCUGCAGAAGAAGCACCGGCUAACUCCGUGCCAGCAGCCGCGGUAAUACGGAGGGUGCGAGCGUUAAUCGGAAUUACUGGGCGUAAAGCGCAUGCAGGUGGUUUGUUAAGUCAGAUGUGAAAGCCCGGGGCUCAACCUCGGAAUUGCAUUUGAAACUGGCAGACUAGAGUACUGUAGAGGGGGGUAGGAAUUUCAGGUGUAGCGGUGAAAUGCGUAGAGAUCUGAAGGAAUACCGGUGGCGAAGGCGGCCCCCUGGACAGAUACUGACACUCAGAUGCGAAAGCGUGGGGAGCAAACAGGAUUAGAUACCCUGGUAG
This 460-nucleotide ribosomal RNA is filed under the name uncultured bacterium. RNAcentral describes it as "bacterial SSU rRNA". It matches the Rfam family "Bacterial small subunit ribosomal RNA", at positions 346 to 793 of the family's 1533-position model. The record is from RNAcentral.